CAACUCGUGGCGCAACGGUAGCGCGUCUGACUCCAGAUCAGGAGGCUGCGUGUUCGGAUCACGUCGGGCUCA
This is a non-coding RNA of Schistosoma mansoni, 72 nucleotides long. The record is from Rfam. Lineage: Eukaryota; Metazoa; Platyhelminthes; Trematoda; Strigeidida; Schistosomatidae.